RNAcentral lists this long non-coding RNA (1625 nucleotides) under Ricinus communis (castor bean). RNAcentral's name for it is "long non-coding RNA (RCOM_LNC001998)". The record is from RNAcentral. Lineage: Eukaryota; Viridiplantae; Streptophyta; Magnoliopsida; Malpighiales; Euphorbiaceae.
AUCCUUACAUUUUCUCACAUUUUUAAAUUUCAGUAACCACUUGACAAGACUAUCCGCCCGGCUCAGUCUUGCCAUCUCACAUACUCGGGUAGCUAUCCGCCCGGCUCAGCUUUCCCGAUCACACAAUAUCCAUACAAAAGUCAUCAAUCCUUAAUCACAACCAUUUCACUUCACAACACAUCACAAUCAAUUCACUUCACAACACAUCACAAUCAAUUCACUUUAUAACAAGCCAAAAACAUAACUAAUAUCAACUCAGUCAACCAAGAAAUUAUCAAGUAAUCAAACAGCAGUCCCUACUCAAUAUACACAAAGUUUAGUCUAUUAAAUACUUACCAAAAGUUAUAGGAUAACAAAGUAAUCCUAUUCUUUUUCUCUUACCACUUCCUUGCCUUUGGAUGAACCUAUUCACAUAUUCAAUACAAAUACAAUUCAAUCACAAGGCAUAAAUAUAUAUAUAUAUAUAUAUAUAUAUAUAUAUAUAUAUAUAUAUAUAUAUAUAUAUAUUUACUAUCAAUAAAAUAUCACAUUUCAACAAAAUAACAUAUAUUCUAGAUAUUAAUAUGAUGCAUGAGAUGAAUGACAACAAAUCAACAUAUUUGUUGAUGAAGGCAGCUUGUAGGUACUGACUUUGAAAUUACACCAAAACUUAUGUACAAUUAAUAAAAAUCUCAUAUUUUCCAGAAUUACACUUCCAUUUUUAUAGAAACCAUAGCAGAAAGAAUCACCUCAAAAUCAUUGGUAUAGAAAUAGUUAUGACAUUUUCUAUACAGCUGCUCAAAUUUCCAUCUAAACAGAACAGAAAAAAGUUUCCUAUUAAAUGACCAAUCAAACGAAUGAAUUUUCUGAUGAAACUCUCCAGAUAUAAAGUAACAUUCUAAAGUUUCUAUAGACACUAAUUUUACUCAAUUUGGACUUUUCUAGCUCAAGUUGUGAAACAUAAAAUUAGCAACAAAUUUCUGAAUCCUAAGCCCGAUUUCUGCUUAAAACAGUUUCGGGCAGGCCAUAUUAAGUUCAACAUAUCUCACGUUAUACUCAACCAAAAAUUAUGAAAUUUUUCAGACAUAUACUACAUAUAUAAAUGAACAACUUUCAUGUUUAACUCUCUGCUUGGUUCAGCCUCUAAAUGCCUCAAAAUGUCAGCACAAAAACCAGGUCACCUGCUGAACCAAAAACAGAGCAGCAGCAAAAUCGAACCUCAUAAGUUCCUACUCACUCAACAAUCUGCAAAACCAUUUUACAGAGAUAUUCUUGAGACAUAUACCUACAGCUUUCAUGUUUGAAAAUUUUCGAGAUAAAGCCUAUAAGGUCACGAAAUCAUAAGUGAAAAAUCUGCCCAGAAAUUUCAGCUUCAAGAUCACAAGUAAAAGCAUGUUUACUCUUGAUUAAACAAUUGCAAAACACAUAAUCAUCAACAAUUUCAUAUCAUUAACCCUAAUUUACAGCAAAAUCAAGCAAUUAAAAUUACUCACCUUUGUUUUUCUUGAUUAAGAAAGCCCAAAUCUUUCAAGCUUAAAAGAAGAAUUUGAUUUUCACUUACUAAAAGUUUUGUAGAGUUUGAUUUGGAAAAUCAAAGUUGAAGAAGGAAAGGAGAAAAAUGAGAGAGACAAAGAAGAAAAGGAAAU